RNAcentral lists this transfer RNA (65 nucleotides) under Arge similis. RNAcentral describes it as "tRNA-Arg". The record is from RNAcentral. Lineage: Eukaryota; Metazoa; Arthropoda; Insecta; Hymenoptera; Argidae.
AAAAUUGAAACAAAUAUUGUUUUCAGUUUCGACCUGAAAUUUUGGAGUAAAAUCUCCCUAUUUUA